Molecule: ribosomal RNA, 590 nt
Filed under: Sporobolomyces sp.
Lineage: Eukaryota; Fungi; Basidiomycota; Microbotryomycetes; Sporidiobolales; Sporidiobolaceae
Description: partial large subunit ribosomal RNA
Rfam family: Eukaryotic large subunit ribosomal RNA
Source: RNAcentral
UAAGCGGAGGAAAAGAAACUAACAAGGAUUCCCCUAGUAGCGGCGAGCGAAGCGGGAAAAGCUCAAAUUUGUAAUCUGGCGUCUACGACGUCCGAGUUGUAAUCUCGAGAAGUGUUUUCCGUGAUAGACCGCAUACAAGUCUCUUGGAACAGAGCGUCAUAGUGGUGAGAACCCAGUACACGAUGCGGAUGCCUAUUACUUUGUGAUACACUUUCGAAGAGUCGAGUUGUUUGGGAAUGCAGCUCAAAUUGGGUGGUAAAUUCCAUCUAAAGCUAAAUAUUGGCGAGAGACCGAUAGCGAACAAGUACCGUGAGGGAAAGAUGAAAAGCACUUUGGAAAGAGAGUUAACAGUACGUGAAAUUGUUGGAAGGGAAACACAUGCAGCCAGACUUGCUAUUCGGGGCAACUCGAUUGGCAGGCCCGCAUCAGUUUUUCGGGGCGGAAAAGCAUAGAGAGAAGGUAGCAAUUUCGGUUGUGUUAUAGCUCUUUAUUGGAUUCGCCCUGGGGGACUGAGGAACGCAGCGUGCUUUUAGCAUAAGCUUCGGCUUAUCCACGCUUAGGAUGCGGGUGUAAUGGCUGUAUAUGACCCG